CAUAUCUUUUCUCCGUAUUUUAUAUACCCAACUCAAGAUCAUCCCACAAACAACCGCACUGUCGAUAAUAAUUAGCAAAAAUCAUCAGCUUAUUCAAGAGGCCGUCUCCCAGUGCUGGACUUUACUUUAUUGGACUGGAUUAUGAAUUCUGAUUUGGAUUACGUGCCGUCGCCAGGAAGAUGAAACGUCACGUCAACAUGACCGCAGGCAAAUAAAUAGAUAUGGAUAUAUGUACAUACAUACAUAUAUAUGUGACAGGAAUCUCUGGCCUCAAGGAGUAAUAGGUAAAUCCAAAUUUAAGAAAUUUUGAAGCACUUAUAGCAUUGAUUUUAGAGGCUUUCUAAUGUACUAAAUCUCCAUUUAUUCAACCGAUGGCUUCAAAAGGUGCCUAUCCGAGUGGUAGAGAUACAGCCUUGAGAAGAACUUUUGUGCGCUCGAGGCUAGCU
Molecule: long non-coding RNA, 446 nt
Organism: Bactrocera tryoni
Lineage: Eukaryota; Metazoa; Arthropoda; Insecta; Diptera; Tephritidae
Exons: 3
Source: RefSeq, a predicted model, not a curated record